Molecule: non-coding RNA, 45 nt
Filed under: Schistosoma curassoni
Lineage: Eukaryota; Metazoa; Platyhelminthes; Trematoda; Strigeidida; Schistosomatidae
Source: RNAcentral
AUCCAGGUGACGAGUCCCAAACAGGACGAAACGCGCGUCCUGGAU